Unclassified non-coding RNA from Chelonoidis abingdonii (Abingdon island giant tortoise), 53 nucleotides. Lineage: Eukaryota; Metazoa; Chordata; Testudines; Testudinidae. The record is from Ensembl.
CAACACAGGCAGUAGCAGGGCAGGCUUCCCCCAGACUGCCUUGUUAAUGUGCC